UACGUAGGGUGCAAGCGUUGUCCGGAAUUACUGGGCGUAAAGAGCUCGUAGGCGGUUUGUCGCGUCUGCCGUGAAAGUCCGGGGCUCAACUCCGGAUCUGCGGUGGGUACGGGCAGACUAGAGUGAUGUAGGGGAGACUGGAAUUCCUGGUGUAGCGGUGAAAUGCGCAGAUAUCAGGAGGAACACCGAUGGCGAAGGCAGGUCUCUGGGCAUUAACUGACGCUGAGGAGCGAAAGCAUGGGGAGCGAACAGG
Molecule: ribosomal RNA, 253 nt
Filed under: uncultured bacterium
Lineage: Bacteria
Description: partial 16S ribosomal RNA
Rfam family: Bacterial small subunit ribosomal RNA
Source: RNAcentral